RNAcentral lists this long non-coding RNA (882 nucleotides) under Homo sapiens (human). Its description in RNAcentral is "STARD13 antisense RNA". Lineage: Eukaryota; Metazoa; Chordata; Mammalia; Primates; Hominidae. The record is from RNAcentral.
GGCCCUGAGCUCUGUGGGCCCCAGGUGCCCCGGGAAAACUUGGGGGAGAAUGGGCAUCCCACCCCAGCACUUUCUAGGAAGAAGGGCAGCAUUUUGAAGGGCUGGAAGUAGAGGAAGGAGGUUGCGGGUAGAAGACUCCAUACUUUCUGUGACGCCUAUUCCUUAGGUAGGAACUUAGGAACCUCAGCUUGUGAUGAAUGUUUUCUCAGUAUCCUAUGCUGAAAACAGGUAGAUACUAAUAUCGAUCUUCAAGGGAGGGCUGUUGAGUAUUGAAUAAGACAAAAACAUGGAAGCAAUCAGCACCAUGCUGGAGAGCCUUUAUAUAACCAAAGAUAUUUUUGGACCAUGAAUUCAGAAAUUCUCGGAGCCACCCAUCAGUGCCUGAGCUUCAGUGAGUCCAUAUCCCAUGUCACCCACGGCAAAGGAGACUCUAAGACUUCUGAAGAGUUUCUUGCUUCUUUCCUGUGGGGCAGUGACUCCACUUCCCAGCAGUAAUGGAAUAUCCUGAAUUAGCUACAUUAAUGUUAGAACCAUUUGGACCUCACCCAGGACUUCAACUACAUUAUGCUAAAGUUACAGAACCCAAAUUUGGCAACUGUCUGCAUCUGAACAACAGAAGUUUCAACAUUCUGCCAACAGAGUAACUCCUGGACGAUUGGCACAGAAGAAGGCACAAGGCAAAUACCCAUCUCUGUACACCCUGUGCUACUGUGUCAUGUGCUGCUCCAGGCAACUCCAAUGGAUUGGCCACCCUGGCCAAUGUGUUCUAGUAUGUUACGUUUAUGUUCCCCUGCUUUCUACAAUCCUGUUCAAAGAGUUGCUGACUUAACCACAGAGAGGAUUCCAGAACCUGAGACACAGAAUAAACUUGAGCAAUCAUAG